CUAUUAAUAUCCAUGGGGAUCCAUAGGGGUCCCGCUACCCGUGAACCCUUAACACUUGUAAUCAGAUUCCAGAGCCGUCCCCAUACCCCGUCCGGUAUGGGCGUCAAAACUAUAAACCUCAAUACCCCGUCCGGUAUGAGGGUGAAACGGACCAUCCCAAUACCCCGUCCGGUAUGGGCGCCAAAACACAUAAGGUCUCCAUACCCCGUCCGGUAUGAGAGACCACAAUCCUGGUAGGGUUCCCUACGGACCCGGUCCGUCCACCAUCUCCCAGGAUAUCUAGUCAGGCUGACCACAUUAUGCAAUUAU
Molecule: long non-coding RNA, 309 nt
Filed under: Carica papaya (papaya)
Lineage: Eukaryota; Viridiplantae; Streptophyta; Magnoliopsida; Brassicales; Caricaceae
Description: long non-coding RNA (CPAP_LNC011203)
Source: RNAcentral